This is a long non-coding RNA of Alligator mississippiensis (American alligator), 1578 nucleotides long. RefSeq lists it as uncharacterized. The record is from RefSeq and is a predicted model, not a curated record. Lineage: Eukaryota; Metazoa; Chordata; Crocodylia; Alligatoridae. The transcript has 3 exons.
UGGCCAGGGGAAGAGAGAACUUCUGCAUGGCAGAGCUACCCAGAAGUGCUGUGGCUGGACUGUUGUUAUGGUUAAUGAGGCUCCAGGAGUCUACAAGGGUGUACCUUCACUUGCCUGGAGGUGAUGAUCAGUGGUUCCCUGAGGGUCCAGAUGCAACUACAUUGGCGUGACUUCUGCACGGCUCUUCCUCCCCUGCACCCCUCCCCAUUCCACUCAGGUGUUGCAGUCAGCUCUGAUGAUGUCUUGGCGUGAUGAUGGGGCCUUUUCUUCUGUGCUAGGUAUCCGGCAAGAAUUGAAAUCACAAGGAUCCUGCCUUCUAUCUCCAAAAUCGCAACUAAACAGGGAAAUUUGACAGUGAAUCUGACAAUCUGCUCUUGAGUGAUGAAUGGGACAUUUACAAUAUAUGGAAUGCCUAAACUGUAUCUCACACUUUGUGGUUUUAACAUCAUAAUUAAAAGAUUUUGCCUUUCAAGCAAAAUUGCCAGCCCUAAAAUUUGUAAAGUGAGACUUCAUUAUGAAUCCCCACAAAGGGGCAAAAGAUUGUAUUUGGCAUAGCCAAAGACAAGGAUGUUGCAGUAGCUGAGAUGCAAGAAGAGAACCUGAAUGAUGCACAGUGUCAAGAAGUCUAUUAUCAAAUUCUUCCUUAAGGCUCCAUCCAGCAAGUUUCACAUUGGAACAAGAAAGCAACAACAACAAAGUGUUUCUGAAAAAGAAAUAUGAUCCAAAAUGCUGACUUGGAAAAUAAAAGCCAGAUUUUAUAUGAAGGUCUUUCUUAUUCUUGUCAGAAAAUACCUCGGUAGACAUACUGGACCUUAGAAACCUUUCUGCUGAAAUAACUUUCCAUCUGCAAUAAAACAACAUCUUUCAAUACUCAAUGUUGUGACCAAAAGUUAUGAUAUGUAGAAUGAUCAAAUAUGUCAUCGCUGAUCCUAUCCUCAUGAGAUAAGCUUCAUUUGAAGUCUGUUAGUAAUUCUACCGUCUCUUCAUCCUAUUAGUGUCAUCUUAUUUUAGGUUAACAGUGUCUUGCUGAAAGGCUGUAAAUCACUCCUGUAGAAUUUUUUUCCCCAUACAAGCUUUAAGUCUGAACAUGUUAAGCCAGCUGUGAUGUGUGGAUAAGCAUUCAGUUCAGAAAUUUUUGUAUAGGACUUUAAAAGCCUUCCUUGUCAACAAUUUAUGGAAUAUAAAUGCUGUUUGUGGAAUCUGAGACAGUGAGUUCUAAUGUUGUUUAACACAUGCCAGGUAUUUCAGCAGCAGUUAAACAAAUAAUUUCUAAGCAGGAACCUUUUGAACCCCCUAAGAUAGGGUGCAUUCAGGCAGCAGUCCAGAGGUGGGGGGGGCUGCCUCUGAUAGCCAUAUCCACUGUGGCCCAGAGCCCCUGAAUUUUGCAGCAGGCCAUACCCCCCAACUUCUGGUAGCCCACCAGCCCACCAGUAAGCCAAAGAGAUUGUGCUGUGGUCCACAUGUGGUCCACAGGCUGGAUGUAUGACACCCCUGCCCUAUGGAAAAAGGGCCUGGUUAUGUAUACAUUCAUCCAAUGUCAGUUAUAAAUACAUAGUGUUGUUUGUAUUCACCAAAAGU